Molecule: ribosomal RNA, 255 nt
Filed under: uncultured bacterium
Lineage: Bacteria
Description: partial 16S ribosomal RNA
Rfam family: Bacterial small subunit ribosomal RNA
Source: RNAcentral
GACCUGGCUCAGGACGAACGCUGGCGGCGCGCCUAACACAUGCAAGUCGAACGAGCGAGAGAGAGUUUACUUUUUCGAGCGAGUGGCGAACGGGUGAGUAACGCGUGAGGAACCUGCCUCAAAGAGGGGGACAACAGUUGGAAACGACUGCUAAUACCGCAUAAGCCCACGACCCGGCAUCGGGUAGAGGGAAAAGGAGCAAUCCGCUUUGAGAUGGCCUCGCGUCCGAUUAGCUAGUUGGUGAGGUAACGGCCC